This 446-nucleotide ribosomal RNA is filed under the name uncultured bacterium. Its description in RNAcentral is "partial 16S ribosomal RNA". It matches the Rfam family "Bacterial small subunit ribosomal RNA", at positions 338 to 795 of the family's 1533-position model. The record is from RNAcentral.
CCUACGGGCGGCAGCAGUCGAGAAUCAUUCACAAUGGGGGAAACCCUGAUGGUGCGACGCCGCGUGGGGGAAUGAAGGUCUUCGGAUUGUAAACCCCUGUCAUGUGGGAGCAAAUUAAAAAGAUAGUACCACAAGAGGAAGAGACGGCUAACUCUGUGCCAGCAGCCGCGGUAAUACAGAGGUCUCAAGCGUUGUUCGGAAUCACUGGGCGUAAAGGGUGCGUAGGCUGUUUCGUAAGUCGUGUGUGAAAGGCGCGGGCUCAACCCGCGGACGGCACAUGAUACUGCGAGACUAGAGUAAUGGAGGGGGAACCGGAAUUCUCGGUGUAGCAGUGAAAUGCGUAGAUAUCGAGAGGAACACUCGUGGCGAAGGCGGGUUCCUGGACAUUAACUGACGCUGAGGCACGAAGGCCGGGGGAGCGAAAGGGAUUAGAUACCCUUGUAGUC